RNAcentral lists this long non-coding RNA (735 nucleotides) under Rattus norvegicus (Norway rat). RNAcentral describes it as "long non-coding RNA NONRATT009731". Lineage: Eukaryota; Metazoa; Chordata; Mammalia; Rodentia; Muridae. The record is from RNAcentral.
CAGUUCCUCGUUGUUUGCUCCUUCCUGCCUGGGUUCAUCCCUCCACACCCUGAACCUUCCAAAAAAUCUCUUUCAUGAGAUUUGCUGCCUGGUGUGGUUCACCAGAAGAAGAAAAGCUAUAAAGAAAAGCAAAGAGAAGAAGUUCGCUGAGGCCCCUGAGCGCCUCAGCUCAGCUGGGGAUCCACUCCCCUGGGAGCUGCAGUGCCACAGCUGAGGAAGCUUCCUCUCAAAGCUGUGUGGUUCCUGGGCCCCCGUGUCUCAGGACGCCCCUCCACUGAGAUUCCUCCCCUCAGAGCUGUGUCAUUCCUGGGCUUCCAAGUCCCAGGACAUCUUCCCCUCUGAGCAGAAAGGCCAACACUCAUUACCUAAACUUUUUAAUUCUUUAGAAGCGCAACCAUCAGAAGGAUAAAGAGGACUGUUACAGAUAAAGGCGAGUAGACAUGCUCAGCCCACUGGUCACCUCUCUUUGGGUAUUCGUACAGCCAGUUUCAACUCUAAAUGGAUCGAUUCAAGAGCAGUCAAUGUACGAUCAUCAGAAGCUUGGCCUUCCCACGUUAGGAAUUUGGAUAAUGACGGCAGGAAGCCCACAAGCCAGUGCAGACCUGCGAGGGGCAGGCAGGGGGUUACGUGGAACAGAGGGAGAGGUGGGUGGUCUGUACCUCUGAUAAUCCUGCCACAGCUGAACCUAUGAGUCGCACUAACUCUCUUCUGAGGAGCAAGCCCAUGUGAGCAGCA